GACGAACGCUGGCGGCGUGCUUAACACAUGCAAGUCGAACGGAAAGGCCCUGCUUUUGUGGGGUGCUCGAGUGGCGAACGGGUGAGUAACACGUGAGUAACCUGCCCUUGACUUUGGGAUAACUUCAGGAAACUGGGGCUAAUACCGGAUAGGAGCUCCUGCUGCAUGGUGGGGGUUGGAAAGUUUCGGCGGUUGGGGAUGGACUCGCGGCUUAUCAGCUUGUUGGUGGGGUAGUGGCUUACCAAGGCUUUGACGGGUAGCCGGCCUGAGAGGGUGACCGGCCACAUUGGGACUGAGAUACGGCCCAGACUCCUGUGGGAGGCAGCAGUGGGGAAUAUUGCACAAUGGGCGGAAGCCUGAUGCAGCAACGCCGCGUGCGGGAUGACGGCCUUCGGGUUGUAAACCGCUUUCGCCUGUGACGAAGCGUGAGUGACGGUAAUGGGUAAAGAAGCACCGGCUAACUACGUG
RNAcentral lists this ribosomal RNA (468 nucleotides) under uncultured bacterium. RNAcentral's name for it is "partial 16S ribosomal RNA". It matches the Rfam family "Bacterial small subunit ribosomal RNA", at positions 28 to 507 of the family's 1533-position model. The record is from RNAcentral.